RNAcentral lists this long non-coding RNA (846 nucleotides) under Homo sapiens (human). RNAcentral describes it as "SLCO5A1 antisense RNA 1, transcript variant 4 (SLCO5A1-AS1)". Lineage: Eukaryota; Metazoa; Chordata; Mammalia; Primates; Hominidae. The record is from RNAcentral.
ACACACACACACACACACCGGCGUACUGGAACCUCUCUCGCGAUCCCGCACCCAGCUUGAAUUCAGCAAGAAUCGAAAACAGGUGUGCCCCCGUGGGGCGGUUCGAAGAUGGCCGAAUAGGAACAGCUCCAGUCUGCAGCUCCCAGCUUGAGCGACACAGAAGACGGGUGAUUCCUGCAUUUCCAACUGAGGACUGCCGAAGCUGAGAGUAACUACCCCUGGUUUCAUUUCCAACUCAUGAAUUUUUCGCCAUCCUUCUCUGCCCGCCUUUCCUUUACUACACAGUGAGCCGCACUCCUGGAACAAGCUUCCCUUGAAGUUCACCCUCUGAGCGCCACGGCCCCUCUCCAGCCUGCAUUCCACUGUAAGGUUGAGAAAUAUCUGAUUGUUAGUGAUGAGAGAGAAAACCUAGCCUCAUUCUCUGGUGGCCUGUCUUGCAAAAGAGAGAUGAAAUCAAACCUGGCUUCCUGAGAUUCCAAAUCACAAACAUCACAUACUAGUUUUUUUUUUUAAUAAAAUCAUGGGGCCAGAUGUGGUAGCUCACACCUGUAAUACCAGCACUUUGGGAGGCUGAGGCAGAACAAUCACUUGAGGCCAGGAGUUCAAGACCAGCCUGGAAAACAAAGGGAAACGCACUUCUACAAAAAAUUUAAAAAUUAGUCACAUGUGGUAGCAUGAACUUGUAGUUCCAGCUACUUGGGAGGCUGGGGCAGGAGGAUCGCUUGAGCCCAGGAGCUGGAGGCUACAAUGAGCCAGGAUUGCACUACUGCACUCCAGCCUGGGUGACAGAGGGAGACCUUGUCUAAAUAAAUAUCAUAGAAAGGUGGGGAACUCACUCAGAGUGUC